This 558-nucleotide ribosomal RNA is filed under the name Septa rubecula. RNAcentral describes it as "partial 12S ribosomal RNA". Lineage: Eukaryota; Metazoa; Mollusca; Gastropoda; Littorinimorpha; Cymatiidae. The record is from RNAcentral.
AUAGGUUAUGUUAUAUAUUUAUGGUAAAAAGGCAGUUAAAUAUUAAAAUUAUAAUUAACUUAAUUUAUUGACCAUUUACUAUAGGAGUAAAAUCCAAAUAUAAAUGAAUAAUUCUAUAUAAAUUAAUACAUAUAUUGACUCUGCGAAAGCCUUGAGGGAAACUGGGAUUAGAUACCCCAUUAUUCUUGGAUAUAAAUUAACGUAAGUUUACCGGAGUACUAAGAAUUCCUAAAUAUUUAAAACUCAAAGGGCUUGGCGGUGUUUUAGACCCCUCAGGGGAACCUGUCUCAUAAUCGACAAUCCACGUAAGACCUAACCUUUUUUUGCUUUUUCAGUUUGUAUACCGUCGUCGUCAGGUAACUUUUAAAAAACAUAAAGUUAACAAAAGAAUUAUAUUGAAUUUUAACGUCAGAUCAAGGUGCAGCCUAUAUAAAGGUGAGGAUGGGUUACAAUUAUAAAUUAUAAUUACGAAAGGACAAUUGAAAUAUUGCCCAUGAAGGAGGACUUGAAAGUAAAAUAGAUUUAUAUAAAUAUUUUGAAUAAGGCUCUGAAACAUGC